Molecule: long non-coding RNA, 562 nt
Organism: Haliotis rubra (blacklip abalone)
Lineage: Eukaryota; Metazoa; Mollusca; Gastropoda; Lepetellida; Haliotidae
Exons: 2
Source: RefSeq, a predicted model, not a curated record
CAUGCUCUGUGACAGAUUACAAAUAACUGCAAGUGCUUCUCACAUGGUGCCGCUGCUUGGAGACUGAAAUGUUGGUGGUUCCAGGCUGACCAUCAGCUACGAAACAACUUUAAAAGAUGGUGCUUAUUGGUUACUUUCUUGCUGUUUUGCAUCAAAGGAACACGGACUGGUCAGCUGAAAGUCAGUGUGGGGUGCUAUGUCCAAAUGGGUAUCACCUGUAUUAUGUUACACUGUGGUAAGGUAGUUCAGUUGGCUGGCCCUACGGAACCAGUAUUUCCCCAGACUGUACAAGCCAUCACACAAGAACACACACACAUGUGCAAGCUUGUUACAUGCAAUAGUCUAGAAUGGGUUUUAAAACUAAUCUCACCUCACCAAUUUGAAGGUGCACAUGUAAAUUAUGUUUGUACGAACAUUCUUCAGCUGUGUGCUUCUGAUCCAUCAUCUGUACUGUGAAACAGUGACCCACAUUUCAUACACAGAUGUAAUCAUUGUCAGGAGCAAGUACAGUGUUUCAAAGUCUGUGACAUUUUGAAAUUUGCUAAUAAAUACAUUUUCUACA